Alexandromys fortis (reed vole) is the source of this 3823-nucleotide long non-coding RNA. RefSeq lists it as uncharacterized. NCBI's taxonomy places the organism in Eukaryota, Metazoa, Chordata, Mammalia, Rodentia, Cricetidae. The transcript is spliced from 3 exons. The record is from RefSeq and is a predicted model, not a curated record.
AAGGCUAAUCCUUUUUCAUCCUGCCACUUUGACUUUCCUAUUCUGUUCUCACACUGGCUUUCAAUUUUUUGGGUGCUUGUUUUGUUUGUUUUGGUUUUUCCAGUCAGGGUUUCUCUGUGUUGUCCUGGAACUCUGUAGAGUAGGCUAGUCUUGAACUCACAGAGAUCCACCUAUUUCUGGCUCCCUAAUGCUGUGAUUAAAGGCUUAUGCCUCCAUGCCCAGUUCAGGUGCUUGCUUUUUCAGUGUUUUUCUAAAAAGAAUUCAUAGUGGUAAAUUUUUUUCUUUCUGGAGUCUCUGCCCUUUGGUAAUAAUAGUCAAGUUGUUGAGAUUGAUAUCCUUGGCCAAUAUUAUCCUUAAAAUUUGAUGUUAACCUAAGGUAAUAUAGGUGUAUAUAAAACAGUGCUAAACUGAGAGGUCUUAUUGAGUAGGCAUAGGGGGCCAUUCUAUAAUCCCAUCACUUCCAAGGCAGAAGCAGGAGGACUGCCAUAAAUUCAAGGUUGCCUGGGCUACAGAGUGAGGCAUUGUCUCAAAAUGCAGGAAGAGGGUGGAAGGGCCUUAAAAAGAGAAGGAAAACAUUUUUCUUUAUCAUUUUAUUGGAUUUGAUUUAUAGGUAUUAUUUAGCUUCAGUAUUAAGAAAACACUAAGUUGCACAAAAUCAGAAUACAGUAAGAUAUCAUACUCGAUGUGUUGGCUGUAUUUUCAUGGUGUUCAAAUGUUGUGCCUCUUAUUUACCUACUUGCACUUAAUGUAUACUAACUUUUCUAUAAACUAACAUACAAUACUUUUUGUUAGGCUUAAGUAAACACCAAGGUGUAAUUUUUUUUAACUCUUUGUGGGCCUCCCACCUAACUCCCAAAUAAAUAUAUGGAGUCUUAUUCUUACUUAUGAAUGCCCAGUCUUUGCUUGGCUUGUUCUAGCCAACUUUUCUAACUUAAAUUAUCCUAUUUCUUUUUAACAACGUUUUAUUUCUGGACUUUCUUUCAUUCUUACUCCAUGGCUGGCUGUGUGGCUGGGAGGCUGGCCCCUGUCUUUCUACUCUUCUCCUUUUCUUGCUCUCCCUCUUUUAUCUCUGGAACCUAUGUUUCUCCUAUUUAUUCUCUCUCCCUGGCAGCCCCACCUAUCGCUCUCCUGUCCAACUAUUGGCCAUUCAGCUUUUUUUUUUAAGGGGUUUGUUUAUUUAUCAUGUAUACAGUGUUCUGUCUGCAUGUAUCCCUGCAGGCCAGAAAAAGAGUACCAGAUCUCAUUACAGAUGAUUGUGAGCCACCAGGUGGUUGCUGGGAGUUGAACUCAGGAAGAGCAAUUGAACUCUGGAACAGCAACCAGUGCGCUUAACCUCUGAGCCAUCUCUCCAGCCCCAGUCUUUCAGACCAAUCAGUGAGCUGUUUUCCCCGUCUCAAAAGUACCAGCUUUUGGUGUAUCAUGCAGAUUCUCUCUUUCACGAUAAGGAGUACCGUAAUGCUGUGAGUAAGUAUACCAUGGCUUUACAGCAGAAGAAAGCCUUGAGUAAAACUUCAAAAGUGAGACCUUCAACUGGAAAUUCUGCGUCUACUCCACAGAGCCAGUGUCUUCCUUCUGAAAUUGAAGUGAAAUACAAAAUGGCUGAGUGUUAUACAAUGCUGAAACUAGACAAAGAUGCCAUCGCUAUACUUGACGGGAUUCCUUCAAGACAGAGAACUCCUAAAGUAAGCUGAAGUUUCCUCUUCCCCAGUUCUGUUCACCCUGCCUCAUCCUGUAUGUUCUCCAUGUUUCAGGAAGUCUGUCUGAUCAUUCUUCUCAUGGCUCUCUCAUUUUUUUCCCCCCAGACAGAGUUUCUCUUUGAAACAGCUCUGGCCAGACUGGCCUCUAACUCACAGAGAUCCACCUCCCUCCCAAGUGCUAGGAUUAAAGGCGUGUUCCACCACAGCCCAGCAAUCACUCUCAUUCUUAACACUUUCUCCCUAGUAGUGGAGUUGGGGUUCAGACAGAUGGAAGGUUGACUUUGUUAAAGAGCCCUGAAAAUUCAGUUAGGUAUAGUGGCGUUCACCUAUGAUCCUAGCACUUGAGAUGGAGGAGGAGGAAAACCAGGUGUUCAAGGCUAUCCCCAAACAGACAAAUAACAGGAAAAAUGUUUGGCUUGGUUUUGAGGUACUGGAGAUCCAACCCAGGGCUUCAGGCAUGCUCAGCAAGCCCCCAUCACUAAGCUGUAGCCAUGACCUUUUCUUUUUAUCUAAAAUUUUAAUCUGGAAACAAAGUCUGACUGAGUUACUUAGGCUGUCCUUAAACUGUAUAACCAGGACUGGCUUGGACUUUGAUGAUUCCUAUCCCAUCCAGCCUUGUAGUUGGGAUCACAGGCUUGCACCACCAGACUCAGCUAUUCCUUAGCCUGCCUGCCUGCUGUCCGUCCUUCCUUCCUUCCUUCCUUCCUUCCUUCCUUCCUUCCUUCCUUCCUUCCUUCCUUCCGUCCUUCCGUCCUUCCGUCCUUCCUUUUUUUUCUUUCUCUUUCUCUUUUUUUAAAGAUUUGUGUGUCUAUGUGUUGUUAUGUGUAUAUUAGUACAGGUGCUCACAGAGGCAUUGAAUCUCCUGGAGCUGGAAUUAACAUUAGUUGUGAGCCAUCUGAUGUGGGUGUUGAGAACCAAAUUUAAGUCCUCUGGAACCUCUGGAAUAGCAGCAAUGCUCUUAACCACUGAGCCACCUCUCCAGCCCGUUUUUAUUAUUUUUAAUUGUGUGUGUGUGAGAGAGUGUGUGUGUGUGUACCUGCAGAGGCUAGGGGUGUGAGAUCCCCCUGGAUCUGGAGUUACAGGCAGUUGUAAGCUACCUGAUGUGGGUGCCGGGAACUGAGUUCAGGUCCUCUGGAAGAGUAAUAGAUACAUGUUCUUAACACUGACAGCUCCCUCCUGUCCCUCUUUGACAUUUCUUCAUCUCAGGAAUAGUGAUCUGAAGAGUACUGCAGGUCCAAAUACACUUUUAAAAAGCUUCUUCCUUUUUUAUAUUUAAUGGCGUGGUCAUUUGAUAACAGGAAUAUUGUAUUAAUCUUUCCCUUUGUAAAAUCAAAACUACAAGCUACUCUUUGAACUGAGGAGGUGGCUCAGUGGAUUGAAUGCUUGCUAUGUAAACAUGAGGACCAGCAUUUGGAUGCUCAGUGCCAAUGUAAAAAGCCCUCUGUAGCAGCACAUGUCUAUAGCCCCAGAGCUGGGGUGACAACAGGCUGGCCAUCCAGUGUAGUAGAUUUCCGAGUUCCAAUGUCAAUGGGAAAUGGCAUCUCAGUAGACAUACAGGGUUGAUUCUGGACUCCACACGUGUGUAUGUAUGUACCCACAUACUUGCAUGCAUCUACACAUGAGCACAUACACAAGAAGACUACAUUAUCCCUUGGUACAUACUGGCAAAAUAUAUAUUUGUGUUUAAUUUGGUAGUGUAUUAAAGAGUGUGCUUUUAACUGGAACUGGUUAGACAUCUGAACUAUGUAUAUGUAUGCCCUGGCAGGGAGGACAACUUAGCAAUUGUAAAUAUUUUAUUUUUUUAUAGCUAAUAGCGUUUUUGCAUUUUCUUUGUGAAUCUUUUUGAAAGCUUAUUAAGUUCAUGAAUAUAAAAAUAGCCUUUUUCUUUCUUUGAUUCUUUUUUUCUGAACUGGGAAUUGGGCUUACAGCUCUGUGUUUGCCAAACAAGCAUGUUACCACUGAGCAAUACCCCUAGGUGUAAAAUUACUUUUUAAAAUACUAUUCUACGAAAAUAAAGUGCUGUAAACAGUGCUUUAGGUGUCUAUCCUUUUCUUGUGUGUGUGUUGGGGUUUGUUUGUUUGUUUGUUUGUUUGUUUGUUUGAGACAGGGUUUUUCUGUGUAGCCCU